This 253-nucleotide ribosomal RNA is filed under the name uncultured bacterium. Its description in RNAcentral is "partial 16S ribosomal RNA". It matches the Rfam family "Bacterial small subunit ribosomal RNA", at positions 524 to 776 of the family's 1533-position model. The record is from RNAcentral.
GACGGAGGGGGCUAGCGUUGUUCGGAAUUACUGGGCGUAAAGCGCACGCGGGCGGCCUGUCAAGUUGGGCGUGAAAGCCCGGGGCUCAACCCCGGAACUGCGUUCAAAACUAGCAGGCUCGAGACCGGGAGAGGAGAGCGGAAUUCCCAGUGUAGAGGUGAAAUUCGUAGAUAUUGGGAAGAACACCAGUGGCGAAGGCGGCUCUCUGGUCCGGUUCUGACGCUCAGGUGCGAAAGCGUGGGGAGCAAACAGG